CGAACUUCUAUUGCAAGCGGACUUCAUUUGAGCUUCCACAGCAAUCGAUCUCCAUCCGAGCUUCUACAGUAAGCGGCCUCCUUCCGAACUCCUACAAGAAUCGGACUCCAUCUGAACUUCUACAGCGGAUGGAUUCCAGAUGAACUUCUACAAUGGACGGACUCCAGCAGUCGGAUUUCUACAGUGACCGACUGUCUCCGGUGUCUUCCAUACCUCUCCAGCCAUCAAUCUUCAAUAGUGCCAACCGAACUUCAAUAGUACCAACCAGAUCCCUCCAACGGACAAAUUUCCUCCGGACCUCUCUAGUGGUCGACCUUCCACAAUGUCCUCCAGACUCCUCCAGCGGACGAGCUUCCACAAUGCCUUCCGAACUCCGC
Molecule: long non-coding RNA, 377 nt
Filed under: Elaeis guineensis (African oil palm)
Lineage: Eukaryota; Viridiplantae; Streptophyta; Magnoliopsida; Arecales; Arecaceae
Description: long non-coding RNA (EGUI_LNC055004)
Source: RNAcentral